CGCCACGGUGCAGACCCCGCAGCCCCCCCACCCGCCGCGGAGCCUCCUGUGGGCGGCGGGCCCCCAUCUCCACCUCGGCCGUCCGGUGGACUCCUUCCUCACCUGGAGCGCUCGAGGACAGCAAGAAAAAUGAGGGACUUUCAGGGGCAGCUGUGUUUUCUGACUCAGUCAUAAUGCCCCUAAAAAUCCUUAUUGUUCUUGCAGUGUGCAUCAGGCAGCGGCCCCAGCCCACCCCUCGCCUACCUGGCUUCAGCUGGCUUGUCCUCCCCCAUCAUCCUGAAAUGAGCGUGAAGGGGGAGUUGUGGAUUAUUAACACCUUUUGUUGGGCAGUGCAUUGGUUUGCAAGUACUUGUAUAAUUUCUUUUUUUGGUGCAGGACUGGGGAGACAUUGCUACGUGGGUUGGAGCCCGGGAGCAUGCAGGGGCUCCCUGGUGUGUGUGCGGUGAGGGGUCCGUAGAGCCCAGCUGCACACGUACAGCCCGGGGAAGGGCAGCUUCAGGGCCAGCUGUGUCCCGGGUGACAGUGCUGGGCUGGCCGGGUAUGCCCGGCCUGUCCUGAGAAGCUGGCACUGCGUAGGGGUGCCGUGUUUUAGGCCCGGUGAACUGGCCAUUUUGCAGAUCCACCUGCAGCGUACCGAGGUCUUCCCCCCAGCUGUGACCCUAGAGCCGGGUGGUCUCUACCCCCGUCUCACCUCCUGGGUCUCCACCGUGCUCAGCAAGGGCCCCACCCACAGAUAUUUUUUGUCUGAGCCAGGGUUUUUUUGGGUGGAGUUGGGGGUCCUGGGGGAUUGUCAAGCAGAAAUACCAAUUGGUGACAUGCCCUCCUUUACACAAGAAUACCGUUCUUCAGGGAUGUCACCAGGUCCCAUAGCCACAGAAUCAUCGUCUCUGGCUGAGGCUGGGCGGGUGGCUGGCUCGUGGAUGGACAGACAGCAAGCAGGACUGUGCCUGCUCCCGUGGUCUGCUCCGGGUCUCAUCAGCCUCCCAGGUGAGCAGAGGACGUUCAUCCCUAAGGUAUUUCUAAGGUUCCCCUGCAGGAAGCGACUCGCAAGCUCUUGUCAUCCAAGAAGAUGGCCGUUUGUGGGACCUGGACCGCCGCGAUCCUCCUUCCUGGCCAGCCCAGCCCCCCGCUCCUCAGGCUCCUGGGGUCCCAGCUGUGCUUCCAGCCUAGCUCCAGAGACAGUUUUCAAGGAGCCUCAGUAUUCUUCUGCCCAGGGGAAGGGACGGCGCUAAGAUGGAGGACCGAGGCUGAGGAGAUCAGGAGGCUUCCCGGAGGACACGCGGCUGGGAUGCAGCAGAGCUGGAGUGCAGACCUGCAGCUUCUGACUCCCAAGGCUAAGUGCUCACUCUGAGGACACUUCGCCAGCAAACUCGGGGAGGUGUGUGCGUGGAGAACAUGCUCGUUUUAUGCUAGUUGCACUACUCAGGAAGCAAGUGUAAGUCUCCAGGCUUUGCAUAGUGUCUUCUGUCUGUGAUGUCUACAAAGAUGACCUUUGCUUCAGUCUCCUCUCUUCUGGCCCCCCUGCCCUGGCCCUACCCUGUUAGGAUGGUGGUUCUGGACUGAGAAGCUGUCCUCCUUGCCCUGUGUGCCUCUCUGGUCUGGCCACCGGAGGCCCAGAGCCCAGGGAGGCAUCCUUUCCCUCCUUGGAGUUCAUCUUACAAGUCUGGAUACCAUCAGCUCUAAGACGUUCCCUCUGGGCCAGAGCUCCUCCCUCCCCCACCAGCCUCCUUGGGAUGCAGAUGGAUGGCCCAGUACAGGCAGGAAAAGCUUUCUGUUUGCCUUGGCUGGUGGGGAAAAGAUUAGUGCUCGCUUUUGCUGUUUUGACUCUUGUAUGUAACUAACACACAGAGUCUGCAACGUUGCAGAAAAGCAGCCUUGGGUCUUGAAUGAGUUUGGGGCCCGUUCCUGAUGGCUUGGGCGCUGUGGAAGUGUCUGGAGGGGAUCACUUCUCCCUCUCUUCUGGGGUUCACAUGGGGCCAACCCCAUCCCUGGAUUUAGAGGCAGGCAUGUGUCCCAAGCUGGACACUGAGACUCCCCAUUGAGAUUUUUGCAGCAGCUGUGGGAAGAGAGGCAUUUACUUUUCGUGGGACUUGCCAGGUUGAUGGAAGUUCUGGUGGAUACUCCUGUUCUCUACUUGAGGAUGAAGCCAACAAAGAGGAAAGAGCCAAGAGGUGGAGAAAGUCUGCUGUCCAGAUGUCAGUAAGCCCCUGGAUGCAGCCAUACCUGAAGCUAACAACACCUCUGGACUAAUCUGAUUAUAUGAGCCAAUGAGUGCCUUUCUUUUUUUCUAAAACUAUCCUGAGUUGGGUUUCUGUCAUAGAACGGAUCCUAAUAAAGCUAUGUUUUUCUUUAGUCUCAUUUAAAAAAAAAAAUCUACUUUGAGGUAUACUUUACAUGAAAUAAAAUCCACCUAUUUUAAGUGUCCAGUUCAUAAGUUUUCAAAUGUGUACAUCCUUGUAACUACACCACAGUCGAGCUGUAGAACAUUUCAAGUUCCCUCAUUCCCCUUUAUGGUCCAUUCUCCUGACCCCAAGCAACCACUGCCCUGGCUUUGUUCUAGAGAUUCAUUCAGUGUUCUCUCUGCUCAGGCGAGAUCCCUGGAGGCCAAGGAAAGUGUUUCCGCAAUGCUCAUGUUGUGGAUCAAUGUGGAUCAUUUCCCUUGGGACUCAGAGUCAC
Long non-coding RNA from Hippopotamus amphibius kiboko, 2676 nucleotides. RefSeq lists it as uncharacterized. The transcript has 4 exons. NCBI's taxonomy places the organism in Eukaryota, Metazoa, Chordata, Mammalia, Artiodactyla, Hippopotamidae. The record is from RefSeq and is a predicted model, not a curated record.